GAAGGUGUUGCUCAAGUGGCAGAGCGUGUGCUUAGCAGGCACGAGGUCUGGGGUUCAAUCCCCAGUCCCUCCA
Molecule: transfer RNA, 73 nt
Filed under: Camelus bactrianus (Bactrian camel)
Lineage: Eukaryota; Metazoa; Chordata; Mammalia; Artiodactyla; Camelidae
Also listed under: 1 other name
Rfam family: tRNA
About the family: Transfer RNA (tRNA) molecules are approximately 80 nucleotides in length.
Source: Rfam by way of RNAcentral